UUUUUUAAUUGAAAACUCGUAUGAAUGGUUGAACGAAAUAUUUUCUGUUUCAUAAAAAUUUAUAUAGAAAUUAAUUUUUUAGUCAAAAAGCUGAAAUAUAAUUAAAAGACGAGAAGACCCUAUAGAGUUUUAUAUAAAUUAAAUUAUAAUUUAUUUAUAAUAAUUAAAAUUUUAUUUUAAUUUAUAUUUUGUUGGGGUGACAAUAAAAUUUCAUAACCUUUUAUUAUUUUUUAACAAUGAUUUUUGAAUAUUUGAUCCAUUCUUAGUGAUUAAAAGAUUAAAUUACCUUAGGGAUAACAGCGUAAUUUUUUUGUAGAGUUCUUAUCGAUAAAAAAUUUUGC
This 341-nucleotide ribosomal RNA is filed under the name Katatopygia erythropyga. RNAcentral's name for it is "partial 16S ribosomal RNA". Lineage: Eukaryota; Metazoa; Arthropoda; Insecta; Diptera; Mycetophilidae. The record is from RNAcentral.